UACGUAGGGCGCAAGCGUUGUCCGGAAUUAUUGGGCGUAAAGAGCUCGUAGGCGGUCUGUUACGUCGGCUGUGAAAACCUGGGGCUCAACCCCGGGCCUGCAUUCGAUACGGGCAGACUAGAGUUCGGUAGGGGAGUCUGGAAUUCCUGGUGUAGCGGUGAAAUGCGCAGAUAUCAGGAGGAACACCGGUGGCGAAGGCGGGACUCUGGGCCGAUACUGACGCUGAGGAGCGAAAGCGUGGGGAGCAAACAGG
This 253-nucleotide ribosomal RNA is filed under the name uncultured bacterium. Its description in RNAcentral is "partial 16S ribosomal RNA". It matches the Rfam family "Bacterial small subunit ribosomal RNA", at positions 524 to 776 of the family's 1533-position model. The record is from RNAcentral.